RNAcentral lists this transfer RNA (64 nucleotides) under Haploginglymus sp. JP-2016. RNAcentral describes it as "tRNA-Trp". Lineage: Eukaryota; Metazoa; Arthropoda; Malacostraca; Amphipoda; Niphargidae. The record is from RNAcentral.
UAAACUUUAAGUUAUAUUAAACCCCAAGCCUUCAAAGUUUGAAAAGAGGCCUCCUUAAGUUUAA